ACAGCAGUCGCCGCGGUAACACGUAGGGUGCAAGCGUUAAUCGGAAUUACUGGGCGUAAAGCGUGCGCAGGCGGUUUUGUAAGACAGAGGUGAAAUCCCCGGGCUCAACCUGGGAACUGCCUUUGUGACUGCAAGGCUAGAGUACGGCAGAGGGGGAUGGAAUUCCGCGUGUAGCAGUGAAAUGCGUAGAUAUGCGGAGGAACACCGAUGGCGAAGGCAAUCCCCUGGGCCUGUACUGACGCUCAUGCACGAAAGCGUGGGGAGCAAACAGGAUUAGAUACCCGCGUAGUCCCUGUCUCUUAUAU
This 305-nucleotide ribosomal RNA is filed under the name uncultured bacterium. RNAcentral describes it as "partial 16S ribosomal RNA". It matches the Rfam family "Bacterial small subunit ribosomal RNA", at positions 508 to 809 of the family's 1533-position model. The record is from RNAcentral.